AAUAAAAUUGAGAAUGGAAAUGGGGAAUGUGCCAAAGAGACAACAACCCGACCAUAGAAAAAAACAACAGCAGAAGGUAACCAACAGGUCUUCAAUGUAGCGAGAAAUUCCCGCACCCGGAGGCGUCCUUCAGCUUGCCCCUAAACAAAUAUAUACUAGUUCAGUGAUAAUGAACGCCAUACUAAUUUCCAAAUUGUACACAAGAAACUAAAAUUAAAAUAAUACAAGACUAACAAAGGCCAGAAGCUCCUGACUUGGGACAGGCGCAAAAAUGCGGCGGGGUUAAACAUGUUUCUGAGAUCUCAACCCUCCCCCUAUACCUCUAGCCAAUGUAGAAAAGUAAACGCAUAACAAUACGCACAUUAAAAUGCAGUUCAAGAGAAGUCCGAGUCUGAUGUCAGAAGAUGUAACCAAAGAAAAUAAACAAAAUGACAAUAAUACAUAAUUA
RNAcentral lists this long non-coding RNA (448 nucleotides) under Mytilus galloprovincialis (Mediterranean mussel). The record is from RNAcentral. Lineage: Eukaryota; Metazoa; Mollusca; Bivalvia; Mytilida; Mytilidae.